GUAAUAAAUGUGUAUAAGGUAGUUGUUGUGAAAUUGUUAGAUUACUUGUUAGAUAUUACUGCACGGUCGGAACUAGAAGCACAAGCAUUUCGCUACACUCGCAUUAACAUCUGCUAACCAUGUGUUUGUGACCAAUAAAAUUUUAUUUGAAGUUUGCUGACGACAUAACAGUGGUAGGCCUGAUCACUGACAAUGAUGAGACAGCCUAUAGGGAGGAGGUCAGAGACCUGGCAGUGUGGUGCCAGGACAACAACCUCUCCCUCAACGUGAUCAAGACAAACGAGCUGAUCGUGGACUACAGGAAAAGGAGGACCGAACACGCCCCCAUUCUCAUCGACGGGGCUGUUGUGGAGCAGGUUGAGAGCUUCAAGUUCCUUGCUAUCCACACCCCCAACGAACUAUCAUGGUCCAAACACACCAAGACAGUCGUGAAGAGGGCACGACAAAGCCUAUUCCCCCUAAGGAGACUGAAAAGAUUUGGCAUGGAUCCCCUGAUCCUCAAUAAGUUCUACAGCUGCACCAACGAGAGCAUCCUGACCGGUCGCAUCACCGCCUGGUAUGGCAACUGCUCGGCAUCCGACCGCAAGGCGAACGGCCCAGUACGUCACUGGGGCCAAGCUUCCUGGCAUCCAGGACCUACAUACUCGGCGGUGUCAGAGGAAGGCUCUAAAAAUUGUCAAAGACUCCAGCCACCCUAGUCAUAGACUGUUCUCUCUGCUACCGCACGGCAAGCGGUACCGGAGCGCCAAGUCUAGGACCAAAGGGCUCCUUAACAGCUUCUACCUCCAAGCCAUUAGACUGCUAAACAAUUAAUCAAAUGGCCACCUGGACUAUUUACAUUGUCCCCCCCCCCCACCUCUCCAUUAGUUUUUUACACUGCUGCUACUCACUGUUUAUUAUCUAUGCAGUCACUUUACCCCUACCUACACGUACAAAUUACCUCGACUAACCUGUACCUCCGCACAUUGACUCGAUACUGGUACCCCCUGUAUAUAUCCACGUUAUUGUUAUUUUCUUGUGUUACUUUUCAUUUUUUUUACUUUAGAUUAUUUAGUAAACAUUUUCUUAACUCUAUUUUCUUAAAACUGCAUUGUUGGUUAAUAAGUAAGCAUUUCACCUGCUGUAUUCGGCGUAUGUGACAAAUACAAUUUAAUUUAUUUGACAGACACAGAUAUACAGACAGAUAGACAGAUAUACAGACUGACAGACAAAGGGACAGACAGGUAGAGGGACAGACAGGCAGAGGGACAGACAGACCAGGGACUCACCUAUGCUCAAUCUUUUUCAGAAUCUGUUUAGAGAGCACAAAGUUUGGAGGCACUUUGAGAGAACCAGCGGCUUUGUGUUUAUUCUCAGUGCUGCUGACUGUGCCCUUGUUGUUUCCAGUGUCACCACUAGGGGUGCUGGUUUUCUUGUUCUCUGGAAGUCCAUCCUUCUGUUUAUGAAGAGUAAUAGUUGUUCCAUCAGGCCUCCUGGAUCUCCUCUGGGGUUUAGUAACAACCACUGGUGGUGAUAUAGGCACAGACUUUCUAUUCUCAAUUCUUCCGCUUGUGCCCGUGCUACCGCUUGUGCCCGUGCUGCCGCUUGUGCCCGUGCUGCCGCUUGUGCCCGUGCUGCCGCUUGUGCCCGUGCUGCCGCUUGUGCCCGUGCUGCCGCUUGUGCCCGUUCUGCCGCUUGUGCCCGUGCUACCGCUUGUGCCCGUGCUGCCGCUUGUGCCCGUGCUACCGCUUGUGCCCGUGCUGCCGCUUGUGCCCGUGCUGCCGCUUGUGCCCGUGCUACCGCUUGUGCCCGUGCUGCCGCUUGUGCCCGUUCUGCCGCUUGUGCCCGUGCUGCUGCGAGUGUCACCAGAAAGGGUUCUAAGUUUAGACUUGAGUUGAUCAAGGGUAAUAUGUGUUCCAUCGGGUUGACUAACCCUAAUCAGUGGUGACUUGGGUGCAGUAUCAGGAAUCAGUGGUGACAUGGCAGUGAUGUUUUGAGGAGGAGGAGCUUGUUGUGUCUUGGCUGGGACAGUGGGGGUGGUCUGGGUCUUGGCUGGGACAGUGGGUGUGGGCUGGGUCUUGGCUGGGACAGUGGGGGUGGUCUGGGUCUUGGCUGGGACAGUGGGUGUGGGCUGGGUCUUGGCUGGGACAGUGGGUGUGGGCUGGGUCUUGGCUGGGACAGUGGGGGUGGUCUGGGUCUUGGCUGGGACAGUGGGGGUGGUCUGGGUCUUGGCUGGGACAGUGGGGGUGGUCUGGGUCUUGGCUGGGACAGUGUGGGUGGGCUGGGUCUUGGCUGGGACAGUGGGGGUGGGCUGGGUCUUGGCUGGGACAGUGGGGGUGGGCUGGGUCUUGGCUGGGACAGUGGGGGUGGUCUGGGUCUUGGCUGGGACAGUGGGGGUGGUCUGGGUCUUGGCUGGGACAGUGGGGGUGGCAGGGUUCUGAGGAGACCUAAGUGAAGCCUUUCUCACUGCUUUCACUGCCGCUAGUCUCUGCUGUGUUGGCUGAGGGUUGGGAGCCACUGGUGCUGGUCUCUGCUGUGUUGGCUGAGGGUUGGUAGCCACUGGUGCUAGGCUCUGCUGUGUUGGCUGAGGGUUGGGGGCCAGGGCUGCCUCCUUCGAUGAUGGGCCCUGUGGCUGAGGUUUUGGUAAAGACGUUGUCUGGGAUGGGUGAGGGGAGCUUAUAGGGGUAUGCCAGAAAGGAGAGGAAGGGGUAGCAGAGGAAGUAGGAACAGCCUGCACACUCAUUGGGCUCUCCGUGGAGAGACUUGAUAGAGAUGGGGUUGCCUGCAGUGAGCACAGAGAAGCUUGCCCCAUGUUUACAGUGAAGUCUGGGAUACCCUUGAACUGACUGGGUGGCACAGGGCUUAAGAGCUUGGGGGUGGAAACCUUAGUGUUGGUCUUUUCUGCCUCUUUCGGUUUUCCCUUCUCAGUGUUGCCACUCCCGAGGCUUUUCUCGGGUUGUUGCUCCUGCUCUGAGUGGCUGUUGCCCAUCCUCUCACUCUAACUUCCUGUGAAAAUGAAAAUAACUAUUAUGUCUCUCUAAUAUAAUUAACCAAUCAAUCAAAUGUAUUUGAUAAAAGCCCUAAAUACAUUAACAGUUGUCACAAAGUGCUUUACAGAUACCCAGCCUAUCAUCUCUCUCUAAUAGGCCAGAUACCCAGCCUAUCAUCUCUCUCUAAUAGGCCAGAU
RNAcentral lists this long non-coding RNA (3166 nucleotides) under Salmo salar (Atlantic salmon). RNAcentral's name for it is "lncRNA (ENSSSAG00000115555.1)". Lineage: Eukaryota; Metazoa; Chordata; Actinopteri; Salmoniformes; Salmonidae. The record is from RNAcentral.